This 466-nucleotide ribosomal RNA is filed under the name uncultured bacterium. Its description in RNAcentral is "partial 16S ribosomal RNA". It matches the Rfam family "Bacterial small subunit ribosomal RNA", at positions 28 to 507 of the family's 1533-position model. The record is from RNAcentral.
GACGAACGCUGGCGGCGCGCCUAACACAUGCAAGUCGAACGAGCGAGAGAGAGCUUGCUUUCUUGAGCGAGUGGCGAACGGGUGAGUAACGCGUGAGGAACCUGCCUCAAAGAGGGGGACAACAGUUGGAAACGACUGCUAAUACCGCAUAAGCCCACGGUGCCGCCUGGCACAGAGGGAAAAGGAGCAAUCCGCUUUGAGAUGGCCUCGCGUCCGAUUAGCUAGUUGGUGAGGUAACGGCCCACCAAGGCGACGAUCGGUAGCCGGACUGAGAGGUUGAACGGCCACAUUGGGACUGAGACACGGCCCAGACUCCUACGGGAGGCAGCAGUGGGGAAUAUUGCAAAAUGGGGGAAACCCUGAUGCAGCGACGCCGCGUGGAGGAAGAAGGUCUUCGGAUUGUAAACUCCUGUUGUUGGGGAAGAUAAUGACGGUACCCAACAAGGAAGUGACGGCUAACUACGUG